Long non-coding RNA from Papio anubis (olive baboon), 1398 nucleotides. The record is from Ensembl. NCBI's taxonomy places the organism in Eukaryota, Metazoa, Chordata, Mammalia, Primates, Cercopithecidae.
CGGAGAGGGGGCCCGGCCCCCGGGCCGCCCAGCUCAGCGCCGCCCGCGGGCUCCGGAGCGCAUCGGGAGCUGGGCCGGGCUUGGGGCCGCGCUGCCGCCGGCGCUGCGCUGUGCUCCGCGUUCGCCUAUUGAUCUGAUCCGCGGCGGCGACGGCGGCGGCGAGGAGCCAGGUCAGGUCCGAACAGAUUGGCGGAGAUUCCCGGGGCUCCGGGCUCUGAUUGACAUUUCUACGGGGCGCAAGCCCCUCCUCUCUGCGCCGCGCUCCCUCCUCUCGGCCGCCGGAGCUGCCUCUGCCCGCGCCUCGCUCCUCACUGCCCUCCUCUCCCCAGCAGUGUCGCGCCUCGCUUCCUUCUCCCUCCUCUAGUUUUCACUCCCCCUCCUCGCCCUUCCUCUCCCCUCCCCUCUCCGCACUCCUCUUCCCCCCAGGAUCGCUUCCGCUCCUUCGGGCUCCUGCACUGCCCUGGACGCUAUGAAACUCUCCUUUCUCCUCUCCCCUUCCCUUUCCCUUUCUCACGAUGGCUUUUGCUCUCCGGUCCGUUCCCUUCACUUUUUCCUCUCUCACUACUUCUAUUCUUUAAAUCUCUCUCUUUACUCACACGAUACUUCCCCCAACCUUUCCAGCCUCUGCACCCUGGGCUAAGUAAGGCAGCCAAAAGUUGUGGACACUUAGGGUGCCGCGCGGGGGGUGUGUGUCCGUGUCUGUGUGUCCAUCCCCGCCCUUCCACCCCCUCCCUCGCCCUUCCCCAAAUCUCGGGUCUGACGUCGCGCCCUCUUAUUCGACUUUUCCCCGCGUCUCUUCCCCGAGUCGCCAAUCGCCUGGGCGCCUUACGGGCGAGGCCGCCCACCCCCGCGGAUUCCGCGCGCAGGGCGGGGCGGGGCAGGGGCGGGAGCCGGAGUGCCGCGAGUCCCUGCCCGCCCCCUCCUGCCCGCGCCGGGCGGGGGAGCGAGAGGCGCGGGGACUGGCAGCGGCGGACUCCUGAGAGCAUGGCCUGGCGUCCGCACAGGGUGGAAUUCGUAUUUGGCCAGGAAUCCGGACUCCGAGCAUCCCAGGAGACGCGGACCGGGGGCCUCCAGAGCUCUCCGGAGCGUGCUGCCGCUCCCCACCGGCCACCGGGGACUUGGAGGCCCUUCUUGGGUCCGGAGAAGCGACGGGGAAACUUAGGGGUAAACUUUGUCAACUUCGCUCUCGGCGCGGGAGAGGCCGCCGGCCGGAAUGGUGCAACAGCGGUGGCGGGCCGCGACGCGCAGAUGAAUUUGUCGCCUUAUUGGACGCCGAGGCCAGAGCGGUGUGAGGGGGCUCGGCCAGCGCUGUGCAUUUUCUUCAUGCAUAUUGAGAAGAUGGAACCCCUGGCUGGCUCGCGACGGCUCCUCCGAGCCCCCCUGCCCACCAGCCUCUGA